CCUACGGGCGGCAGCAGUGGGGGAUAUUGCACAAUGGGGGGACCCCUGAUGCAGCGACGCCGCGUGGGUGAAGAAGCGCCUCGGCGCGUAAAGCCCUGUCAGCAGGGACGAAAAUUACGGUACCUGAAGCAGAAGCCCCGGCUAACUACGUGCCAGCAGCCGCUGUAAGACGUAGGGGGCAAGCAUUAUCCGGAUAUACUGGGUGUAAAGUGGGCGCAGACGGCGAUGCAAGCCAGGAGUGAAAGCCCGGGGCCCAACCCCGGGACUGCUCUUGGAACUGCGUGGCUGGAGUGCAGGAGGGGCAGGCGGAAUUCCUGGUGUAGCGGUGAAGUGCGUAGAUAUCAGGAGGAGCACCGGUGGCGAAGGCGGCCUGCUGGACUGUAACUGACGUUGAGGCCCGAAAGCGUGGGGAGCAAACAGGAUUAGAUACCCCUGUAGUC
RNAcentral lists this ribosomal RNA (440 nucleotides) under uncultured bacterium. RNAcentral describes it as "partial 16S ribosomal RNA". It matches the Rfam family "Bacterial small subunit ribosomal RNA", at positions 338 to 795 of the family's 1533-position model. The record is from RNAcentral.